This 1514-nucleotide ribosomal RNA is filed under the name Ascomycota sp. L358. RNAcentral's name for it is "eukaryotic LSU rRNA". The record is from RNAcentral. Lineage: Eukaryota; Fungi; Ascomycota.
UGAUCCUUGCGUUCUGCGGAAGCCUUUGCAGCUAGAAAUAGUAGCCGAAGCGACUCUAAACAAUUUGGUUUCAUGCAAGUCAGUACAUUGCUGGCGACACUUUCGAAUUGCGGGGAACUCCUAAGAGCCCUUCACACCAAACCAGCAUGGGAAACCUAGCUGGCGGCCCGUGGGAAACUACGGGGUAUGGUAAUAGUGGAAGGGAUGAUCUAGUGCUGGCCUUGGUGCCUGGUGCUGGUGAAAUGGACAAUCCGCAGCGAAGCCCCUGCCGUUCAUGGUAGCGCUUGAAGCAACCAAACAUGGGGAACGUUCACAGACUAAGUGGAAGUGGGUGGAGCCGAUGCUCUGCUUAAGAUAUAGUCGGGCCCCUCGGGAAACUUUGGGGAUGCCAACCGUUCCGUAGGUGAACCUGCGGAAGGAUCAUUACACACUGCGCGAUACCUGCUGUUUCAGCAGGUAUUAGCACAGCCAACCCUUUGUCUAUUGCUUACCAUUCGUGAAUCCCUCCGGCAGGGACGCCUGCCGCCGGGACCCCUUAAACUCUACUGUAUACAAAGCAUCAAAACAUUCUGAAUCAAAAACAAUUAUUACAACUUUCAACAAUGGAUCUCUUGGUUCUGGCAUCGAUGAAGAACGCAGCGAAAUGCGAUAAGUAGUGUGAAUUGCAGACUUUAGUGAAAUCAUCGAAUCUUUGAACGCACAUUGCGCCCCUUGGUAUUCCAUUUGGGCAUGCCUGUUCGAGCGUCAUUUAACCCCUCAAGCAUUGCUUGGUGUUGGGCGUUUGUCUGCGGAAAUCAGCGUGGACUCGCCCCAAAAAACAUUGGCAGCGGCUUGCCAGCCUCUCGCGCAGCACAUUGCGCUCCUCGAGGCUUUUGGCGGGGCUUGCGUCCAUCAAGAUCACCCCCAUUUUGACCUCGAAUCAGGUAGGGAAUACCCGCUGAACUUAAGCAUAUCAAUAAGCGGAGGAAAAAGAAACCAACAGGGAUUGCCCUAGUAACGGCGAGUGAAGCGGCAACAGCUCAAAUUUGAAAUCUGGCCUUCUUUGGGGGUCCGAAGUUGUAAUUUGCAGAGGGCGCUUUUGGCGUCGGCAGCGGUUCUAAGUUCCUUGGAACAGGACGUCACAGAGGGUGAGAAUCCCGUACGUGGUCGCCUGCCUUCGCCGUGUAAAGCCCCUUCGACGAGUCGAGUUGUUUGGGAAUGCAGCUCUAAAUGGGAGGUAAAUUUCUUCUAAAGCUAAAUACUGGCCAGAGACCGAUAGCGCACAAGUAGAGUGAUCGAAAGAUGAAAAGCACUUUGGAAAGAGAGUCAAACAGCACGUGAAAUUGUUGAAAGGGAAGCGCUUGCCGCCAGACUUGCCCGUGAAGGUUCUCCUCCUCGGGCAGGCCAGCAUCAGUUUGAGCGAUCGGAUAAUGGCCUCUGUCAUGUAUCUUCUUUAAGGAGGACCCCUUAUAGGGGAGUCGUAGUACGGUACAGCUUGGACUUGAGGSCCGCGCAUUGCUCGAUGCGGCAACCCU